This 253-nucleotide ribosomal RNA is filed under the name uncultured bacterium. RNAcentral describes it as "partial 16S ribosomal RNA". It matches the Rfam family "Bacterial small subunit ribosomal RNA", at positions 524 to 776 of the family's 1533-position model. The record is from RNAcentral.
GACGUAGGUUCCGAGCGUUAUCCGGAUUUACUGGGCGUAAAGCGUGUUCAGGCGGCUUCGCAAGUCGGGCAUGAAAUCUCUCGGCUCAACCGGGAGGGGCUGUCCGAUACUGCGGGGCUUGAGGGCAGUAGAGGGUGGUGGAAUUCCGGGUGUAGUGGUGAAAUGCGUAGAGAUCCGGAGGAACACCAGUGGCGAAAGCGGCCACCUGGACUGUACCUGACGCUCAAACACGAAAGCUAGGGGAGCGAACGGG